UCAUGCCUGUAAUCCCAGCACUUUGGGAGACCGAGGUGAACAGAUCACUUGAGGUCAGGAGUUCGAGGCCAGCCUGGCCAACAUGGCGAAAUCCUGUCUCUACUAAAAAUAUAAAUAUUAGCUGGGUGUGAUGGUGCACGCCUGCUGUAAUCCCAGCUACUUGGGAGGCUGAGGCACAAGAAUUGCUUGAACCCAGGAGGCAGAGCUUGCAAUGAGCCAAGAUCCCGCCACUGCACUCCAGCCUGGGUGACAGAGUGAGGCUCCGUCUAAAACA
RNAcentral lists this long non-coding RNA (274 nucleotides) under Homo sapiens (human). RNAcentral's name for it is "LHRI_LNC68.1". Lineage: Eukaryota; Metazoa; Chordata; Mammalia; Primates; Hominidae. The record is from RNAcentral.